CUACCCCAGCAGUACUGGACGCUGGAAGGCGUCCAAGAGGUCUUCGGCGACAAGGUGCUCGUGGAUCGGCUCGACAGUCGCACCCUGGAGCGUGACCACACCAAGACGUUCGCAUGCUGGGUGUGGGUUUGGGACAUGUCGUUCAUCCCCACCCGGCACACGUACUGGAAGCUGCCCCAGGGCGCCGGUCGGGUGUAGGAGAUGGACGGCUUCUCACCGCCGGACCGCCGCGUCGCCCUCCCGCCCGGCGCGGAGCGCUACGAUUUGCUCAUCCACGUCGACUGAGUCGAGGACUGGUCCCCCCGUUCCUGA
RNAcentral lists this ribosomal RNA (312 nucleotides) under Triticum aestivum (bread wheat). Its description in RNAcentral is "partial small subunit ribosomal RNA". The record is from RNAcentral. Lineage: Eukaryota; Viridiplantae; Streptophyta; Magnoliopsida; Poales; Poaceae.